AAUAGUACGUGAAACCGUUUAGAGGUAAACUAAAAGAGUCGUAAAGUGGUCUGGUUAGAUUCAACUUGUCGAACGUCGGUCGACGAUCAGAUGCCUAACGCACUGGCUCUGUCGCCGGCCGGCGCCGAUAGGCGCACUUCUUUCCAGACAGCGUCACGACCGAUUCGGGCCUGGUCUUAAGCCGGGUUGGAAGGUGGCUCCGUUCUCCGGCGGAGAGUUAUAGCCUACCCUGGCGUCGUCCAGGCUCGGAUCGAGGAAUGGCCGUACCCGCUUAAGCACGGGCCCUCGUCCUGCGUUCGUCGUUCGACUGGGCUGGACUGUUACAGUGCUGUCCGACUGCGAUGGGUACGGGCGGGAGUGCUCCCGGGUACACACGGUCAGUGUCGAGUGGUCGGCAAUCUUUUAGACCC
This 410-nucleotide ribosomal RNA is filed under the name Ototyphlonemertes macintoshi. Its description in RNAcentral is "partial 28S ribosomal RNA". The record is from RNAcentral. Lineage: Eukaryota; Metazoa; Nemertea; Enopla; Monostilifera; Ototyphlonemertidae.